RNAcentral lists this long non-coding RNA (295 nucleotides) under Setaria viridis. RNAcentral describes it as "long non-coding RNA (SVIR_LNC000283)". The record is from RNAcentral. Lineage: Eukaryota; Viridiplantae; Streptophyta; Magnoliopsida; Poales; Poaceae.
UUGUGCAUGGAUUUGCUACGGGAUCAUCCUAGAUGUUCUUGCACAUGUCCUAGCACCGAUUUGAUCCAAGAAAAGCACCCCAAAUCGCUACCAAUCACGAAAUCCAAAAAUUCACCCAAAAAUAUUCCAAAAAUAGGGAAAAAGAUAAAUUUCAGAUAUUGAGAAGGAGAAGCAAUUGAGUACGAAAUUGAUUCUUGGUUUACUUCACCAUGUCUGGUUAUAAGCUACUCCGAAGCACAAUCCAAGCUAGGAUGGCAAAAAGAUCAACACAAAGAUCCCUCCUCUCUCCCUCUCA